Molecule: RNA transcript, 1024 nt
Organism: Physella acuta
Lineage: Eukaryota; Metazoa; Mollusca; Gastropoda; Physidae
Source: RefSeq, a predicted model, not a curated record
CUAUAUAUUUCUUAUAUUAAAUGUUAUAAAGCCUGAUAGGCUUUGUGUUUAUUGCUAAAUGGGGGGUCGAUAAAAGAGCCAUAAUUCUGUAGACAACUAUAGUUAAAUACUUUAACUCACAUUUUCCCGGAACUUCUGACAUGCGCACUAUUUACAUUUCCAAGAUGGAUGCACAAACAGUAACCAAUGUAAACUACAAGAUCUACGAUUAGAUCUAGCUAUUGAUUUUAGAACCUUAUGAAUAUUUGUUACUCUCCUAUCAUAUCAUGGCAGAAGCAGAUCCUGUAACAUUGGUUCACAUUGUCAGCUAGAGAGUAGAGUUUGACAGUUUUUCAUGUGCAUUUUCCUGGACCCUUGUACAACAGUGUCGGAUAAAGCCUUAAAGCCAUGACCAUAAAUUGUUGUUCUAAGCAAGAUUGUUGUACAUACUUUACUCUGGACAUUUCACAGGUUGUGAAAUACAGUGGCAUGAAAUGAGUGAACUAACCCCAGUCAAUAGUUAGCAUUCAACUGUAUUCUUCAGUAGCAUUUCAAGUAUUUUACAGAUCCUUCACCUGCAUAGUACAGAAUGGUCUAGUGAUGAAAUUAUAUGCAUCAUUGAUGAAAUGACAAGUACACCUGAAGAUUGGUCAGUUGAAAAUAUUGCUGGCUUACUGCUUGCAUGUGGGGAAUGUAUUGCCAUUAAAAUGUUGGCCAGCAAAGCAAUUAAUGGCAGAUAUGUUGAACUGGCUAGCAUUAUUACUUCCCUUUGUCUUGUUUGUGUGAAACACAAUUACAACUUGACUCAAGUCAUGACAAUGUUGGACUUAUUAUAAGUGUGAUAGAAAACCCAAGAGACAAACUUGUACUGCUCAACAGGAUCCUUGAUACAUUUAAGGAGCUUGUGUUGGACACACCUGGGUUCACUGAUUCAGAUGAUGCCAGUGACAAUGAAUUUUCCUUCCAUGUGUCUGCAUUGACAGAAUUUGGAAUUUGCAAAGUAAAUGGCCCAGCUUGCUUAUAAACGUGUCAUACCUCAUUAACA